GUGGAAUCUAAAAAAUAAAACUAAUAUAAAAAAUAGAUUCACAGAUACAGAGAACAAAUUAUUGGUUACCAGUGAUAGGAGAAAAGGGCAAGAGAGGGGUAGAGAAGCUACUAUGAAUGAAAUAAUUAAACUAUAAGGAUAUAUUAUACAACACAAGUAGAAUCAAUGUUUUAUAAUAACAAAUGGAACAUAACCUAAAAAAAUCAAUAUGUUGUGCACCUGAGACAUAUAUAAUAUUGUAGUUAUACCUCAAUUUUUAAAACCUAAUAAAAGAAUAAUAAUUUAAGACCUUAGGUUUUUCACAUUAAAUUUUAUGUUCAUGUUUGUUUAUGUGAUCUUGUAAAAUCACAUAUCAAAUGUACCUGUCAUACCUGGUAAAAUGAAAAAAAAGUUCAAAUCAUGAGAAAGUGGGUCCUUAAAGCAAUUGGAAAAAAUUAAAUCAUGUUGUAAAUGAGAAAUCAUAUUAAGUGUAAAUGGGCUAAAUGUUAUAAAUAGAUUACUAAAUAAAUGUAUGCUGUGUGUAAUAAUCAUAUUGAAAGGUUUGUUAGGUGUUGCAGUUUAAGGCCUCUUCAAGGAUAUUGAACUGAAAACCUCUGGCCAAGACAGGAAUUACCAGACCCUUAUCAAGGCCCCACCUGUCUCAUUGUAAUGCUCCUUCUCCCACCUCCAGCAAACUGGCCUACUCCUUCCUACUCCCUGCUAGGAAAGGGAGGCUUCAUUACACGGUCAAGAUGGAUUAAACCUUUGGAAACCAACAUUCAACCCUUUUUUUCCCUUGAUGGAGGAAACAGAAACGAGAGCCAAAAAUGAGUCUGAAAAAUUCCUCCUUAAUUAAUCCUUAAUUCAAGCAGAGGAUUUGAAUCUACAAAAGAAACCAAAUAUCUUUCCUGAGAUAAAGAUGAAGACCAAAAAGAAAAGGAGGAAAAGGAAGAAGAAGGAGGAGAAAGAAAUUUGAAGUAACAGAAGUUAAAAGAAGAACAUUUUGCAAAGGAGGAAAUGAUCUCUUCUGGGGUUAAUACUCUCAACAGUUUUAUUUAACAUGGCAAGUAACUGGUCAAACCAAAAUUCACCCCAAGAUAAAUUUAGAAGAAUCUCUCUCUGUGGUUAAAGACAGGACUCUCCCAUGUCUCCUGGUACAGAUGCCUCUGGAUUUUCUACUAUAUUAUAAUUAAAUUCUUAGAGUAGAUUUAAAGCUGUAUUUUGAGAAAAAUCCUAGAAGCAAUCCCAUGA
This 1230-nucleotide long non-coding RNA is filed under the name Sus scrofa (pig). Lineage: Eukaryota; Metazoa; Chordata; Mammalia; Artiodactyla; Suidae. The record is from RNAcentral.